UGGCGGCAGGCCUAACACAUGCAAGUCGAGCGGUAGCACAGAGAGCUUGCUCUCGGGUGACGAGCGGCGGACGGGUGAGUAAUGUCUGGGAAACUGCCUGAUGGAGGGGGAUAACUACUGGAAACGGUAGCUAAUACCGCAUAACGUCGCAAGACCAAAGUGGGGGACCUUCGGGCCUCUUGCCAUCAGAUGUGCCCAGAUGGGAUUAGCUAGUAGGUGGGGUAACGGCUCACCUAGGCGACGAUCCCUAGCUGGUCUGAGAGGAUGACCAGCCACACUGGAACUGAGACACGGUCCAGACUCCUACGGGAGGCAGC
This 317-nucleotide ribosomal RNA is filed under the name Klebsiella pneumoniae. Its description in RNAcentral is "bacterial SSU rRNA". It matches the Rfam family "Bacterial small subunit ribosomal RNA", at positions 37 to 352 of the family's 1533-position model. Lineage: Bacteria; Pseudomonadati; Pseudomonadota; Gammaproteobacteria; Enterobacterales; Enterobacteriaceae. The record is from RNAcentral.